UUGUUACUUUGAUUUGAAAAUCGUUUUUUGGGGUGAUGAUACAUAAAAGGGUCAGGCCACCCGUGGGCAUGAAAGCCAUCUAAGUAGGCCUAAGCACCUAUAAUCACAAUUUUCACUAUCACGGGGUCUUAAAUUCAUUCUCUUGGGACAAGGUCCUCGAAGUCGUUUUAAGGCCUGAAAUUACAUGCACAAUGAUCAAAUAAUAACUUUACAACUGAAAUCGCGUCCAUCAUGGGAAUUAAGUCAAGAUCUGAUUUGUGGAUCUCGACUCCAAUAUUCUUAGGCUCACAUAAUAAUAUAUUAGAACGUAAGCAAAAAAAGAUCUAAAAGUGGGCUCCUGUAACCCUAUCUUUUAGAUUGCAAAAUUGAACCCAACAUCGCGAGGGACUAUGUGCAUUGACAAGAUCUAUUGAAGGGACUUUGAAUUUAAGACACAAAUCCAUAGAUCUAAGAUACCUUGGGAUUCGUACAAUGACACAAUCGAGAUUAAAAUGAAAGCAUAAAAAAUGUAUCCUAAAAACGCUAUCAAGUAAUUCAAUUAUUAGAAUUCCUAGCGCGAUUAGUUAGGACCUCCUCCCCACUAGAUAUGGAUCUAGGGUUUUACAGAGUGUUCAAAAUUGAUCUAACCUAGAUCCGAUUCAAUCUAGAGUAAAGGUUCAAGCUUUGGAGCUUUAGAACCGGUUGAGGUCUAAAUCUGGCUAGAUCUAGUAAAAACAUUCAAUUUUUAACUAUAUAUAUGCAAAAUAUUAGGUAAAAUGGAUAGAUCUAUAGAUAAGAAACUAAUAUAUGUAUAUAUAAAGAUUGAAACUUUAACUAUAUAUAAGCACUACAUUGAACUAGAUCUAAUAGAUCUAACUAGAUUUACAAAGAAAUGAACAAAAAUUCGAUUUUUCACCUUGGGGAAUGAAGAUACAAGCUUCCUUUGACUUAAAUCUUAAAUCUAUGUUAUAUCACUCUAUAUGUAUAAGAUCUAAAUCUAUAAUGUUACAUAUGACUUGGAUCUAUUGAUUUUUGAGAGAAAAAUUCGAGCCCUUCUCUCCUUAAAAUGAUGUUUCUCUAUCUAGAAUGAGCUUUCUCCCUAAAAAUUAAUGCUAAAAUUCGCCCAUUUAUAGAGGGAGAUAGGUCAGCCGAAGGUCUACCUACAGCUGGCCUAGGGUAGGCCCACAUGCUCGGUUUUCGUGUUGCGAAGGCGAUUUUUCGUGCUGUGUACUGGAACAUCUGUAACUUUCAAUCUGGAAAGAAUUAGGAGACAGUGCAUUACCAUUUCAGAAAGUUCUUUCCGAGAGCUUCGAAUUGAUAUAUUAUUCGCCCAAUUCAAAGUUUGGGAAGGCAGAGAAAAAGGGGAAAAACCAUCCUUGGGUAGAUGUCAGCUAGUCAUUCGCGUUGGUUUGCGUAGUCGAUUGUGAAGGCCUUUGUGGGAGCUUCAUAUACUUGUUCUCAACCUCUACUAUGCAAGGUCAUCGGGCUUAACCAAUUCCGGGUCCGAGAAGAUGAAGCAUAAAGGCAAAAAGGUAUCUUCUUGAAUACUCUGGCUAGUCAAUCGUCUUGCCUUGAAUAGUCUGUUACCCAGGACUUGUUGUGAUAGCUUUAUAUGUUUGUUCUUAGCUCGCACUUGAGUAAUUUGUUGUUGUAGAA
Molecule: long non-coding RNA, 1635 nt
Filed under: Panax ginseng (ginseng)
Lineage: Eukaryota; Viridiplantae; Streptophyta; Magnoliopsida; Apiales; Araliaceae
Description: long non-coding RNA (PGIN_LNC009603)
Source: RNAcentral